Molecule: ribosomal RNA, 458 nt
Filed under: uncultured bacterium
Lineage: Bacteria
Description: partial 16S ribosomal RNA
Rfam family: Bacterial small subunit ribosomal RNA
Source: RNAcentral
GAUAAACGCUGGCGGCGUGCCUGAGACAUGCAAGUCGAACGAAGGAUCGGGCUUGCUCGAUCCUUAGUGGCGGACGGCUGAGUAACGCGUAGGUGACCUACCCCGAAGUGGGGAAUAACUGCCCGAAAGGGCGGCUAAUACCGCAUGUGGUCGCACGUUCAUUCGUGCGAGUAAAGCCGCAAGGCGCUUCGGGAGGGGCCUGCGUCCGAUUAGCUCGUUGGUGGGGUAAUGGCUUACCAAGGCGACGAUCGGUAGGUGGUCUGAGAGGACGAUCACCCAGACUGGGACUGAGACACGGCCCAGACUCCUACGGGAGGCAGCAGUCGGGAAUUUUGCUCAAUGGGGGAAACCCUGAAGCAGCAACGCCGCGUGAGGGAUGAAGGCCUUCGGGUUGUAAACCUCUUUUGUCAGGGACGAUGAUGACGGUACCUGGCGAAUAAGCCACGGCUAACUACGUG